GGAAGUAUGGCGGCCGCUCGAACGCCGCGCGGCGGAGGCCAUUAAGGCGUGGACGGCCCGGAAGGCGGCCUAGGGACGCAAGCAGGCUUGGCCGCCUCUUUCGGCCACGGAGCCGCGCAGAUCCGGUUCCCGGGUGACCACUCUGUCGCCAUUGGGCGAGACCUACCUAGUCCUGACGACAACGGACAAAGGCCUUAAGGGGCCUGAAAGCAACCUCCAGUCCUGCAAGCUUCAUUCCUGAAUGGUAGAAAGCAGUCUUCAGCCUGAGACCCAUCCCUAGACUCUAUGGCACAAAGAGGCACUACAGAAAAUCCCAGAAUUUAUUCUGACUGAAGCAAUAUGCAACUGGCAAAACUGGCAGCUGAAAGGAUCCUGAAUAAGAAGGAUUUUAAAUGCCGUUUUGGCACAGGAUGUCAGAGCACAAGCAUGGUGAAGAGGAAUCUGUGUCAGGAAGAAGGUGGAAGAGAUAUGACAUUGGUCAAACAGAGAAUUGAUAAAAUAAGAAAACAAGUUGAAAAACUAAAACAAAACCAG
Long non-coding RNA from Homo sapiens (human), 534 nucleotides. RefSeq annotates it as long independently transcribed non-coding RNA 2228. NCBI's taxonomy places the organism in Eukaryota, Metazoa, Chordata, Mammalia, Primates, Hominidae. The transcript has 5 exons. The record is from RefSeq and is marked validated.